GGAUGCAUGGUGUAGUGGUUUGAGUGUUGGACUACGACUCUAGUGUUGGACUCGAACUCUAGGGUUCGAAUCUCUGCUCAGCCG
This is a non-coding RNA of Phrynosoma platyrhinos (Desert horned lizard), 84 nucleotides long. NCBI's taxonomy places the organism in Eukaryota, Metazoa, Chordata, Lepidosauria, Squamata, Phrynosomatidae. The record is from the annotation of a GenBank genome assembly.